RNAcentral lists this ribosomal RNA (468 nucleotides) under uncultured bacterium. RNAcentral's name for it is "partial 16S ribosomal RNA". It matches the Rfam family "Bacterial small subunit ribosomal RNA", at positions 28 to 507 of the family's 1533-position model. The record is from RNAcentral.
GACGAACGCUGGCGGCGUGCUUAACACAUGCAAGUCGAACGGAAAGGCCCUGCUUUUGUGGGGUGCUCGAGUGGCGAACGGGUGAGUAACACGUGAGUAACCUGCCCUUGACUUUGGGAUAACUUCAGGAAACUGGGGCUAAUACCGGAUAGGAGCUCCUGCUGCAUGGUGGGGGUUGGAAAGUUUCGGCGGUUGGGGAUGGGCUCGCGGCUUAUCAGCUUGUUGGUGGGGUAGUGGCUUACCAAGGCUUUGACUGGUAGCCGGCCUGAGAGGGUGACCGGCCACAUUGGGACUGAGAUACGGCCCAGACUCCUACGGGAGGCAGCAGUGGGGAAUAUUGCACAAUGGGCGGAAGCCUGAUGCAGCAACGCCGCGUGCGGGAUGACGGCCUUCGGGUUGUAAACCGCUUUCGCCUGUGACGAAGCGUGAGUGACGGUAAUGGGUAAAGAAGCACCGGCUAACUACGUG